GAAGAAAGCUGGCGGCGUGCCUAAUACAUGCAAGUUGAGCGCUGAAGGUUGGUACUUGUACCAACUGGAUGAGCAGCGAACGGGUGAGUAACGCGUGGGGAAUCUGCCUUUGAGCGGGGGACAACAUUUGGAAACGAAUGCUAAUACCGCAUAAAAACUUUAAACACAAGUUUUAAGUUUGAAAGAUGCAAUUGCAUCACUCAAAGAUGAUCCCGCGUUGUAUUAGCUAGUUGGUGAGGUAAAGGCUCGCCAAGGCGAUGAUACAUAGCCGACCUGAGAGGGUGAUCGGCCACAUUGGGACUGAGACACGGCCCAAACUCCUACGGGAGGCAGCAGUAGGGAAUCUUCGGCAAUGGACGAAAGUCUGACCGAGCAACGCCGCGUGAGUGAAGAAGGUUUUCGGAUCGUAAAACUCUGUUGGUAGAGAAGAACGUUGGUGAGAGUGGAAAGCUCAUCAAGUGACGGUAACUACCCAGAAAGGGACGGCUAACUACGUG
This 497-nucleotide ribosomal RNA is filed under the name uncultured bacterium. RNAcentral's name for it is "partial 16S ribosomal RNA". It matches the Rfam family "Bacterial small subunit ribosomal RNA", at positions 31 to 507 of the family's 1533-position model. The record is from RNAcentral.